AAAACCAUUCAAAUAGACCUUUAAACUCAAAAAAGUGACCCGAGAUAUUGACUUAAUGAAAACUCGACAUCAUGAUAGAAAUUAAAGCAAAAGCAGAGAGGACGACCCCUCAAACUCAGUAUUUACUGAUUGAACAUACUCAACUACAUCAUACCACUGCAAAGAGAUUCAGAAGCAAAAAAUUCGAUCACGACAGAAAACAGACCACUGUAAACUAACUCUCAUAGCUCAAAAUCACCAGAACAAAACAAAGUCACAUAGAAUAAAGGAGAGGAAAAUUGCACCUGAAUUUGCGAAUCUCUUUUAUAACAAUUAUAAACUUGACAAGACGACAGUAGAAAACCAAUCUCGAACUUCAAUUUUUAUUUCCUUGGAAGUCACAUUCAGAUUCAAAAAUAAAAUUUAUAUAUAUGUUUCUCUUAAACUUUGAAAAAACUCUUCAAAAAAAGAAAUUGAAUCAGAAAACCUGAAAUAAAAUCGAAGCCUCUCAACUUUUCUCAAAAUUUCUCCUCAAAAUUUAUGUUCUCAAAAUUUCUGUCCUCAAAUUUCUGUUCCCCUUCUCAAAAUCGGACCUGGCCCUAUUUGAAAAUGAAUCCUUUGAUGAACGUAUGGCUCAGAUUGAAUGAACUCAAUCUAAUGUCUCACACUCAUCCAGCGAAUCCACUCCAGAACAUUUCAAUUUGUGAGAUAUAUCAAAUUCGAGCGGCGAGAGAGGAUAAGAAUCUUGCGUCAGAAAUCCUAAGAACUGUAACAGGAGGAACUGGGGAACGUGUGGUUGAGGAUCUAAUCUUCUCUCGCCAGAACUUGGACUAGGUUGGGUUUUGUUCGAAUGGCGUUAGGAGAAGAGGAGCAGGGUUGCAUUGCUUGAGCUCAGGAGAUUAAGGUUCCUGAGCGUUUUGUGUUGUAAUUUGGUGCAGGUCGGGUCGGCGAGCGGGUCGG
Molecule: long non-coding RNA, 939 nt
Filed under: Nicotiana benthamiana
Lineage: Eukaryota; Viridiplantae; Streptophyta; Magnoliopsida; Solanales; Solanaceae
Description: long non-coding RNA (NBEN_LNC036179)
Source: RNAcentral